GGGCGAUUAGCUCAGGGGGAGAGCACUUGCCUUACAAGCAAGGGGCCAGUGGUUCGAAUCCACUAUCGCCCACCA
This 75-nucleotide transfer RNA is filed under the name Ammonifex degensii. RNAcentral describes it as "tRNA-Val". It matches the Rfam family "tRNA". From Rfam's summary of the family: Transfer RNA (tRNA) molecules are approximately 80 nucleotides in length. Their secondary structure includes four short double-helical elements and three loops (D, anti-codon, and T loops). Further hydrogen bonds mediate the characteristic L-shaped molecular structure. tRNAs have two regions of fundamental functional importance: the anti-codon, which is responsible for specific mRNA codon recognition, and the 3' end, to which the tRNAs corresponding amino acid is attached (by aminoacyl-tRNA synthetases). tRNAs cope with the degeneracy of the genetic code in two manners: having more than one tRNA (with a specific anti-codon) for a particular amino acid; and 'wobble' base-pairing, i.e. permitting non-standard base-pairing at the 3rd anti-codon position. Lineage: Bacteria; Bacillati; Bacillota; Clostridia; Thermoanaerobacterales; Thermoanaerobacteraceae. The record is from RNAcentral.